This 2902-nucleotide ribosomal RNA is filed under the name Escherichia coli. RNAcentral's name for it is "bacterial LSU rRNA". It matches the Rfam family "Bacterial large subunit ribosomal RNA". The record is from RNAcentral. Lineage: Bacteria; Pseudomonadati; Pseudomonadota; Gammaproteobacteria; Enterobacterales; Enterobacteriaceae.
UUAAGCGACUAAGCGUACACGGUGGAUGCCCUGGCAGUCAGAGGCGAUGAAGGACGUGCUAAUCUGCGAUAAGCGUCGGUAAGGUGAUAUGAACCGUUAUAACCGGCGAUUUCCGAAUGGGGAAACCCAGUGUGUUUCGACACACUAUCAUUAACUGAAUCCAUAGGUUAAUGAGGCGAACCGGGGGAACUGAAACAUCUAAGUACCCCGAGGAAAAGAAAUCAACCGAGAUUCCCCCAGUAGCGGCGAGCGAACGGGGAGGAGCCCAGAGCCUGAAUCAGUGUGUGUGUUAGUGGAAGCGUCUGGAAAGGCGUGCGAUACAGGGUGACAGCCCCGUACACAAAAAUGCACAUACUGUGAGCUCGAUGAGUAGGGCGGGACACGUGGUAUCCUGUCUGAAUAUGGGGGGACCAUCCUCCAAGGCUAAAUACUCCUGACUGACCGAUAGUGAACCAGUACCGUGAGGGAAAGGCGAAAAGAACCCCGGCGAGGGGAGUGAAAAAGAACCUGAAACCGUGUACGUACAAGCAGUGGGAGCCUCUUAAUGGGGUGACUGCGUACCUUUUGUAUAAUGGGUCAGCGACUUAUAUUCUGUAGCAAGGUUAACCGAAUAGGGGAGCCGAAGGGAAACCGAGUCUUAACUGGGCGUUAAGUUGCAGGGUAUAGACCCGAAACCCGGUGAUCUAGCCAUGGGCAGGUUGAAGGUUGGGUAACACUAACUGGAGGACCGAACCGACUAAUGUUGAAAAAUUAGCGGAUGACUUGUGGCUGGGGGUGAAAGGCCAAUCAAACCGGGAGAUAGCUGGUUCUCCCCGAAAGCUAUUUAGGUAGCGCCUCGUGAAUUCAUCUCCGGGGGUAGAGCACUGUUUCGGCAAGGGGGUCAUCCCGACUUACCAACCCGAUGCAAACUGCGAAUACCGGAGAAUGUUAUCACGGGAGACACACGGCGGGUGCUAACGUCCGUCGUGAAGAGGGAAACAACCCAGACCGCCAGCUAAGGUCCCAAAGUCAUGGUUAAGUGGGAAACGAUGUGGGAAGGCCCAGACAGCCAGGAUGUUGGCUUAGAAGCAGCCAUCAUUUAAAGAAAGCGUAAUAGCUCACUGGUCGAGUCGGCCUGCGCGGAAGAUGUAACGGGGCUAAACCAUGCACCGAAGCUGCGGCAGCGACACUAUGUGUUGUUGGGUAGGGGAGCGUUCUGUAAGCCUGCGAAGGUGUACUGUGAGGUAUGCUGGAGGUAUCAGAAGUGCGAAUGCUGACAUAAGUAACGAUAAAGCGGGUGAAAAGCCCGCUCGCCGGAAGACCAAGGGUUCCUGUCCAACGUUAAUCGGGGCAGGGUGAGUCGACCCCUAAGGCGAGGCCGAAAGGCGUAGUCGAUGGGAAACAGGUUAAUAUUCCUGUACUUGGUGUUACUGCGAAGGGGGGACGGAGAAGGCUAUGUUGGCCGGGCGACGGUUGUCCCGGUUUAAGCGUGUAGGCUGGUUUUCCAGGCAAAUCCGGAAAAUCAAGGCUGAGGCGUGAUGACGAGGCACUACGGUGCUGAAGCAACAAAUGCCCUGCUUCCAGGAAAAGCCUCUAAGCAUCAGGUAACAUCAAAUCGUACCCCAAACCGACACAGGUGGUCAGGUAGAGAAUACCAAGGCGCUUGAGAGAACUCGGGUGAAGGAACUAGGCAAAAUGGUGCCGUAACUUCGGGAGAAGGCACGCUGAUAUGUAGGUGAAGUCCCUCGCGGAUGGAGCUGAAAUCAGUCGAAGAUACCAGCUGGCUGCAACUGUUUAUUAAAAACACAGCACUGUGCAAACACGAAAGUGGACGUAUACGGUGUGACGCCUGCCCGGUGCCGGAAGGUUAAUUGAUGGGGUUAGCGGUAACGCGAAGCUCUUGAUCGAAGCCCCGGUAAACGGCGGCCGUAACUAUAACGGUCCUAAGGUAGCGAAAUUCCUUGUCGGGUAAGUUCCGACCUGCACGAAUGGCGUAAUGAUGGCCAGGCUGUCUCCACCCGAGACUCAGUGAAAUUGAACUCGCUGUGAAGAUGCAGUGUACCCGCGGCAAGACGGAAAGACCCCGUGAACCUUUACUAUAGCUUGACACUGAACAUUGAGCCUUGAUGUGUAGGAUAGGUGGGAGGCUUUGAAGUGUGGACGCCAGUCUGCAUGGAGCCGGCCUUGAAAUACCACCCUUUAAUGUUUGAUGUUCUAACGUUGGCCCCUGAUCGGGGUUGCGGACAGUGUCUGGUGGGUAGUUUGACUGGGGCGGUCUCCUCCUAAAGAGUAACGGAGGAGCACGAAGGUUGGCUAAUCCUGGUCGGACAUCAGGAGGUUAGUGCAAUGGCAUAAGCCAGCUUGACUGCGAGCGUGACGGCGCGAGCAGGUGCGAAAGCAGGUCAUAGUGAUCCGGUGGUUCUGAAUGGAAGGGCCAUCGCUCAACGGAUAAAAGGUACUCCGGGGAUAACAGGCUGAUACCGCCCAAGAGUUCAUAUCGACGGCGGUGUUUGGCACCUCGAUGUCGGCUCAUCACAUCCUGGGGCUGAAGUAGGUCCCAAGGGUAUGGCUGUUCGCCAUUUAAAGUGGUACGCGAGCUGGGUUUAGAACGUCGUGAGACAGUUCGGUCCCUAUCUGCCGUGGGCGCUGGAGAACUGAGGGGGGCUGCUCCUAGUACGAGAGGACCGGAGUGGACGCAUCACUGGUGUUCGGGUUGUCAUGCCAAUGGCACUGCCCGGUAGCUAAAUGCGGAAGAGAUAAGUGCUGAAAGCAUCUAAGCACGAAACUUGCCCCGAGAUGAGUUCUCCCUGACUCCUUGAGGGUCCUGAAGGAACGUUGAAGACGACGACGUUGAUAGGCCGGGUGUGUAAGCGCAGCGAUGCGUUGAGCUAACCGGUACUAAUGAACCGUGAGGCUUAACCUU